AGAGUUUGAUCAUGGCUCAGGAUGAACGCUAGCUACAGGCUUAACACAUGCAAGUCGAGGGGAAACGACAUCGAAAGCUUGCUUUUGAUGGGCGUCGACCGGCGCACGGGUGAGUAACGCGUAUCCAACCUGCCCAUCACUUGGGGAUAACCUUGCGAAAGUAAGACUAAUACCCAAUGAUAUCUCUAGAAGGCAUCUGAAAGAGAUUAAAGAUUAUCGGUGAUGGAUGGGGAUGCGUCUGAUUAGCUUGGUUGGCGGGGUAACGGCCACCAAAGCAACGAUCGAGUAGGGGUUCUGAGAGGAAGGUCCCCANAUUGGAACUGAGACACGGUCCAAACUCCUACGGGAGGCA
This 352-nucleotide ribosomal RNA is filed under the name uncultured bacterium. RNAcentral describes it as "bacterial SSU rRNA". It matches the Rfam family "Bacterial small subunit ribosomal RNA", at positions 8 to 350 of the family's 1533-position model. The record is from RNAcentral.